CAACUAUUCAAAAUUAAAAAAAAAUAAUAUCUUUAUCUGUAUAUGAAAAUUUGCGUGAGAGCUGCGUCUUCAAAAGCAGAUAUGCAGUGUUUGAGCGAAGCCAAACAAAAAUUGCAUUUCCCAGAAAUAUGACAAGGAAUUCUACAAUAGUCACGAUCUGGAAAAAGUUAGAAUUGUCGAAUUUAUCCAACCGCAAUUGUCAUGCGUGGCUUCGUCUCAAACGUAAAUACUACCUUUUUGUGUUGAAUGACAGAAACUGCAUAUAAGAAGCUGCACUACGGGAAUUUAUCAAGCAUUUACUUUUGGUUUUAAGUUAUUGUUAAACAUAAAUUGCUUGGCGUAUGCGAUCCACCUACAUACCUGCAUGGAUAUGUAUAGAAAUAUUCAUAAAUAUAUGCACAAAUAUGCACUCACAGUUAGCUAUUUAAUGACGCUCCCAUUGUUGAGUUUUUGCUUCUUUUUUCUAGUAGGCAGAUACAUCGUUACCCCAGUGUUUUGAAGACGUUUUUGUGUGCAACAGUUGUAGUUGGUACGCUUUAUCCCUAUUCAAAUUGGCGCAGUUACCCUGUUUCAAUGGAAUAUAAGUGCACAACCUGAUAGUUGCGAAUGCAUCAAAAAUCUAUAAAUUCGUAUUUUUUUAACUUUUUUAUUGCUGUACAUGCGGUUUAUAUGGAUAUGUAAGGCAUAUAUUUUUUUUGGAUUCGCGAACAAUUCUGUGGGAGAACUCUAACGUAAAUAUGAAAUUUGCAUUUAGGCUUAGUGUGCUUCAACAGAGAGAGACAGUGGCGUAGAAAAAAUAAUUUUAUUAUAAUAACAGUAAUAAUAAUAGAAACUAGCAAGAAAACUAUUAAUAAUUAUUAACUUUUCUAUUUGUUAAUUAUAUAAUUUUUUUAUGUGAAUAAUUGGCUAUUUACCCUCUCAACUAUGAAAUUAAUGCCGCUACUGGAUCAGUGAAUGAAAAUUUUUUUUUUGGCUAUUGUCGAUAAAGUUUGAUGCACUAUAAAUCUAUAUUUACUCAAUGCUUACAAAGCUUAACAAUAGCUUAAAUAUAUAUUUAUUAUGUAUUAUUGUGCUAUGAGUAGGUGAUGUAUAAAUCUAUUUAAACCGAAGCGCGAAUAUCAGAUGCUUAUUUAUUUAAACAAGUUUAAAAUAUUCACGAUUUUAAUUUUCUUGAAUUUUUAGCUUUUUUUUUGUUGCAUUUAACAAUAUUAAGCCAGUUUUAAUUGCAAAAUAAAAAAUUUCAAAACAUACAUCGAAAAAAUAUUUAAAUUUAAUUUUCACCUAUCACAAAUUGCUUAAACUUUUCUAAAAACGCUUAAGUAAAAGGAAAGCUUUUCACAAAAACAAAAUCAGAAAUCAAUUAUUGUUGCUUUGGAAACUUUACAAACCAAGUUCAAGUUUGCUUGAUUGCAUUUUUCGAUUUAUUUUUUGUGCAAACUUUGUACGAGUACUCUAUGCAGUAGUUUGUGCUUUAACAUGUACAAGUUACAGCUAUGUUUUCAACUUUUUUUUUCGAAGUUCGUAACGAAAGGUGUUGCUACAGUGUUGCAAAUAUAAACUAAUUUAGUUUUUGGUAAGUUUCCAAAAAAAUGUCAAAACACUUUUCGGAUGACAGCACAGCUUGUGAGAGUCAGUUAAGGAUAGUUGAGAGAUUUUGUUGAAGCUUAUUAAAAAUAUAUGGAUGUUGGCGACGAAAAAUAAAUUUAAUAUGACAAAGCGACGAUACUAUAUUUAUAAAAUAGAUUGAAAUCAAAUUUUUUGUAGACCACUGUAAAGAUAAUCAAAUGCAGCAAAUGACAAAGAACAAAGAACCGUCAACUCGGCGGAAGCAUUCUUAUGUUAGAUUUCUAUAGUUUUUUAACAAUUUUGCCGAUUUGUCCAUCAAAACAAUCUGAGUUCACUUCGAUGCUGAUUGUGACAGAAAGACUAACCACAAUUUGAUGUACUUCAAUUCUCCAGUUGGAUACAUUACUUUGUAGAUUUAUUUCCAGAGCAACUUCUCGUUCAUUUCCAAAUUUGCCCCUCAAAUAGCGUCGGUCGUUUGCUGGAGCACAUGUGCCCGUACGGUUAGUUGUCAAUUGAUUUUCUAUUAACCAUGUAAAGGUUGAUAUUGACGUUAACUCAAUGUUAUUCUUGUUGUUGUGCCACCGGAGUGAACUCCUACAGCAGUUGAAGCCUGUAACUUCAAUGGCGCUUAACUGAAACAGCAUGUGAAUAGUCUCAAAAUUGCCAAGGGAACAUAAAUAUUGUGACUUCAAAGAUUUUAUUUUGACUUCAACUUUGAGCUCAAAAUUAAUUACAGAAAGUUUUCUGCCGCUACAACAACAAAAUCCCCAUCUUUUAUCCCGAUGAAACCCAUACCUAAAAGCUGUAAAAACUUGCAGCAAAUUUUUACAUUUCUUAUAGGUUAUGUUGAAGAUUUCCACGAUCAUCCAUUAAACCCACACUAUUUGCGUGUUGGGUAAACAUACCUGAUUGCAGUUUAGUGCGGUACAUUUGAGUUUUAUUUAUUUUUGUUUUGCUGCGCUUGGCUCGUUGCAAUCUUUACUCGGCAACGAAAAUGUUUGUAAAUAUUUUUUUUUUGUAUGAGUUGUUAUUGCUAUUGCUGUGUAGUGCCAAAGCAAAGCGUGUGUGUGUGUGGGGUCCAAAGUGAUUUUGAUUUUAUCGCUGCUGUUACUGUUGCUGACAUUUUUUUUAUUAUUAUUGUUGUUGUAGAUGCAGAUAGCAACUUCUUUGUUGUUGCUGUUAUUGAUCAUUUAUUUGGUGCAGCAGCAACUACUACUAACUGCAGUUCAGUUACCAGCGCAGAUUGAUUUGCCGCCGUCAAGUUAAGUUUGUACGUAUGUAUGUGAGGAUGUGUGUGUUUGCGUUUGUUUGUUGUCGCCGCCACCGCCAAAAGGCAGCACUAACGGUCGUACAACAUGCAACAUACACAUCAGCGACGCCAAGUCACGGGGCAACCAACUCCAUUAAGCAAUGUUGCUGCUGCCGCGCCAAUCGUCGGUCUGUCAGCUGUCGUCGUCUGUGGCACUACGAUUACGUUGGUGGACGCAUUGAUUUGAUUUUGAAUUGCUUAGUGCGAGUAGUAUUCCCGCGGGUGUCACGACGGACGACGCACACACACUUGAAGGUGCAGCGCUCCAUUCAAUGGCAUUCGUUGGAAAGUUUGCUUUUUAGAUUUUCUUAUUUCUGAUUUUUUUGUGUUUUUUUUUUCCUUUUUUCUAAUCCGUUUUCCAUUUACAUUGCAUUGUUUGUGCGUCUGUGUGCGCGCUUUACUGUGCAUUUUUUGCUGCAAUUGCUGGAAAAACUAUUGAUUGUUACUUUAUUGUUGCUGCUGUUUUUUUUGGCUCUAUUUUCUAUCUAACUUUGCCAUUCAUUGCUUUGAUUUCCUUUUAAUUUGCCUGCAGGCUUGAGCGGAUAUUUCUACAAUUUUCCGGUCACUAUUUCUUUUCGCAGCGAAGACAAAAAACAAAAAAAAAGUUUUCAAUUUUGAUUUAUUUGCGUUUGUGUGCAGUGUUGCCACAAUGUUGCAUUUAUCGGGAAAGCAUUAAAGUUUAAAUUGAGCGCAAGCAUGCAAAUCACACAUUGCACAUUGAACAGGUUGCAUUCAAGUGAAAUUUCUCGAUUUACAGUAAUUUCUUAUUAAAAAUUAAUAAAAUAAAAAUGCAUGUGAUUGAUUGAAGCAAAGAGCGACAUAAUAUAUACAUACAAUUUUCAUGCGGAAAAUUAUACAAAUAAAUUUUACUUUCCGUGCAAUUGUUUUUUUAAUAAUUUUCAUUUUUGUAAUCAAAACACAUGGUAUAUGUCUGUACAACUGUGUUCGAAAUAAUAGCAGUGGCUUAUCAAAAUUUAAAUAAGUGAAAUUUUUACACUUAAAACCUUCUAGCCAUGUAAUUUUUUAAUGCAAAAACAUAGGCCUAAAUAUUGGGAAUAUGUGUUUAAAUUGAUAUUUGAUACAGUUAUCAUAUACAAGGAGUACCGUUCCCACGACAGUCGGUUCUACGUAACCGGAACGGACCCGGAUUUUUAUCCGGCCAAGGACUGUCAAAUCGGCAGCAUUCCUCAAAAUUAUUUGGGGAAUGUUUUAUGCCGCUACAACAACAACAACAACAACAACAAGGAGUACCGUUAUUUUUUGUGAAACGUUCUUGUUUUUGCUGUGAUUAAAAAUAGCAGUGCAAGCGAAAUGGUCAUAUUAUUAUAAAUACAGUGGAACCUCUCCAACUCGAAUCACCAUAAUCCACAGAAAAACUUCAAGUUAGAGAGACUUCGAGAAUUUUCAUUAAAACAUACAACUUUUCAAAAAGCUGUAAAAUAUUGAUUUAAGCACUGUUUUAUUUAUUUACUUCGCAAAAAAUUUUAUGGACUUAUGUUAAAAGAUGUUUGCUGUAAUAUUUGUAUCCCAUGCCUUGUGUUAGAUGAUUUAUGCAAUACAUAAGUGUAAUAUUAUAUUUUUUGUAGAGGGACUCUUUUAAAAUUCUGCCUCGAUAGUAAUAUUUUAAAUUUUGUAUUAUGCCCUUGUCGAAAAGUUCGAUUUACGGAAGGAAAUUUGUAUGAAAGUUACACUAUAUUGCCUCUUCAAGAGUUCGAGAUAUGGAGAAUUUCGAGUUAUAGAAAUUCGAGUUAGGGAAGGAAAUUUGUAUCACAUUUGACUUCUAAACGUAAUUACCAAAAAUUUCCAGUGAUGGUGAUCUUCGACUUAAAGAAGUUCGAGUUAUGGAUGUUCCACUGUAAUUUGAUUGAAAUGCGAAAAUUUAAAUUGAAGUCAACUAAGACAAUAGUUCUUUAGUAAAUACAUCGCUCUUUAAAUUUGAAACCACAUUUAUUUUACGAAAAUGGGCGUGGCAAAAUUUUUUCUAAAGGAGAAGUCAAUCUCAUCAACAAAAUGUUGGCUGACGAAAAAUCUAAUAAGUUUAUUGUUAUGUCAAAACGCAUCAAAUGCAAAAAUAUUUAAACCAAAAAAAAAAAACAAACUGAAAACUGGUUAAAUCUUAGUGUUAUCGCGUCCACAAUAAGACAAGAAUUAAAAACAGGUAAAAUUUUUCGGCAGGACCACAAGGAAAGUGCCUUUAUUAGAACCGCGGCAUGUGCAGGCCGUAGUUCAAAUUGCCGAAGAGCACCUGCAUAAUUAAAAAAAAAAUAUUAAUGUUAUUUUGUAAGGAAACCAUAUUUCUUGCAAGCUUGAAUAUGGGGAAAUAAUAUAAAAUAACAAUGAACUUUAACAAAAAUUAAUUACAAUAUGUUUUUUCAUUGAAUACAUUUUUGGUUAUACCGCUGCUAUUAUUUCGAACACAGUUGUAUGUUUAAUUUCACCAAUGCAAUUUAAAUAUUUCGCCAAUAUAAUAUUUUAAUUUGCCAUUGAUACGCUACAAAUUAUCGUGGUAUAAAUUAUAGGUUAUGUUAAUUCAAUUUAAAAGUACUUAAUACACAUAAAGAGGGAAAGUUCAUGUAAAAUUAAAAAAAAAAUGAUUUUUUUUCGAUAAAUUUAAAAUGAAGUGAUUUUCAAUGGAGAUGCUACAAAAAGUAGACCGAUAGUGACCGCAAACAAAGUUAUAUUUUUUCGCGUUCUUUUGACAUUUCUCUUCAGUAAGGUUUGCCAUUUCAUCAUGGCAAGAUAUACGAUCCAACAAUGAGUCGAAAUUCUUAAAAUUUUCUACCGAAAUUCGGAGUCAGUGACUUCAACUUUAGGAGCGCUACGUUCAAUUUAUGGUCCUGUCAGAUCAACAAUUGAGCGUAUAGUGGAAACAUUUUAAUGCACAGGCACAGUACAAAAUAUUCUCGUGCCAGUGAGACAAAGAAGUGCCCAUAGUGUCGAGAAUAUUGCUGCCGCUAGCGCAUUAAUUGAGGAAGAUCCAAAUCAGUCUCUCACACGUCGUUCUCAAGCGUUGGGCACCCCUGUGACGCCGUUGUGGCGAAUUUUGUGAAAAGAUUUUGCCCUAUAUCCUUAUAAGAUCAAAUUGAUGCAAGAACUGGAGCUGAUUGACAAUUAGAAUCGUCGUAUGUUCAUGAAUUGGGCGGAGCAACAACUUGAAAAUGAUCCGGAUUUUCAUCGAAAAAGCGAUGAGGCUCAUUCCUGGCUGAAUGACUUCGUCAAUAAGCAAAAUAGGCGCAACUGGUCAGGCAGCAAUCCACACGUACUCCAUGAGUGAGCAUUGUAUACCGAAAAAAUUACGUUUUGGUACGAUUUAUGGGCCGCCGUCGUCAUUGGGCCGUACUUCUUCCGUGAUGAUCAAGAGCGGGACGUUAAUGUGAGUGGGAAUUGCUACCGUUCAAUGAUAACUGAAUAUUUUUGACUCGAAUUGGAUGAUAUGGACUUGGACGGCGCCACAAGCCACACAGCGAAUGUCACGAUCGAUUUAUUGGCAACCAUGUUUGGUGAACGUGUUAUCUCAUGAAAUGAUCCAGUCAAUUAGCCGCCUCGGUCGUGCGAUUUGAUACCGUUAGACUAUUUCCUGUGGAGCUAUGUACGUCAAGUCUAUGGUCUAUUCUUAAACUUAUCACUGAAUAUUCUAAACACAGAAAUUGGUUUUUUUAUGUUAUGUCAUUCUAUGUUAUGUCAUGCUACGUUAUGCUAUGAUAUGUAACUUACGUAUGUCGCUUUAAUUUUCAUCAUUAUUUGUAGUUAAAUUAUAUUAAGUCGAACUGUGCAUGUAAUCAUCAUGCAAUGUAAGACAACCUUAUGUAAAACUUAAUCAAUUGUAUCCUUAUGUUCUUAUUAUUGGAAAAAAGUCAAAAACAGUUGUAUAAUUAAGUUAUAUAAUUUCUUAAGUUGUGUUAUAUUGUGGUGUGCUACGAAAUGCUAAUCUACUUACUUUUUUUUAAUUUUUUUUUUUAUUAUUUUACCCAACCCUAUUGCUGUGCAGCUUAUUAGCUGAAGAAAAGCAAUGGCAAAGAAACAAAAAAAAAAUAAACAUAUGUAUGUACAUACAUACCUAUUUAUAACUCAUGGCCGAUUCGCGUCGAGCAUAAGAAGUAACAAGCUUUGACAAAUGUCUGCCAUUUUUUCUUUCGCAUAUUGUCACCCCAUUUUACGGCACAUGCAACAGUCAUCAACUAAUUUUACUUAUGCAUGACUUGAACAGCGCCUACAACACACCCUGUAUGUUUGUAUGUGGAGUAACACCCAUUAGCAUCAUCGCCUGUUGUUGCCUGGUGUCUUCCAGGCGGCAUAAACAGGAAAUAAUAAAUUCUAUGCUCGUACAAUGUUGGCUGCUGCUGCUGCUGCUGCUCAGGCUGGAAGGCAUUAGGUACGGCCCCCACACGCACCAAGCAACACAACCCAGACACACACGGGCGUGUAUUUGUUUGUUUCUAUGUACAUAUAUGUUUAUGUGUGGUUGUUGGCAUGUUGUUUGACGCCCGUUAAAUAGUGAGUAUGUGGCGUAGCACUGCCACAAAAUUUUUUGUUGCUACUGUCAGCAGACACCAGCACACAUAUUUAUUUAUAUGCAACUCUGUUAUUAAAAGCCUCACAAGUAGUAGUUUGAUUGCAUACAUUUUCUUGCCACUUUUUCGAUACACUUUGCAUUAUUAUCGCCGCUGCCACGCGUUAUGCGUCUCUAAUCCGCAUUUUAAUCUGCAAUGUCGGUUAUACAUUUUUUUGGUUUUAUCUCCUCCUUAGUGCUGCCGCUACUUUCUUUCUUUUGUGUCGCUCCUACUUUAUUAGUCUUCCUCCUUAUUGCUCGUUAUUUAUUUGCUAUGUCGCAGCCAUCAACUGCCGUUUCCUCGAUUUUUGCUGUUUUACAUUUUCAUAUAAAUUUUAUGUUUAUCAGGCAAAUACGAUCUUAAUUCAAUGCAAUCAAAAGCUCCAGACAAUAUUCAUUAUGGCUAAAGGUGAGCAGCGGAAUAUGUGUGUGUAGGGUAUAUCUAUUUACUCGAAGGUACUUACUUUGUGCGCCUUCAUUGAGCGCGUUGAAGCUGUUGAGCAGGGGUUUUACAUUGUCAACAUAGCCUGCUUUUAGGCGUUCACUACAUGCUAUUUGUUGUUUGCAAAAACAGUUUAAUUUUGAAGUUUAAAAUAAAAUUUACUUUAACUUAUCGAUUUUUUUCCAUCUCUAAUUUGAAUAUUUUACAAAUCGAUUAGUUUUUUUACUAUUUUCCGUUGGUUUUUAUUUCAAUAAAGUAAGUUUUUGUAGGUAAUUUGUCUAAAUUUUGUUUGUUUAUCAAUUUAUUAAUCAUUUAAUUAAAAUUUCGAUAAACAACUUUCAAGAGAAUCGAUAACUUUUUAUCGAUUUCAUUAUUGUUUAUUUAACGUUAGUUAAGGCUUGUAUGCUUUUCUCAUAACAAUUUUGGUGAAAUUUAUCGAUAAAUUUAUAAUGAAUCGAUAGAUUUUUUAUCGAUUUUAUUAUCGUUCGAUAAGAUGAUGCUAUAAUAAUUUGUCGCAUUUAUAUUUUUUUUAUUUAUUUUUAUUAAAUUACGAUAAUAACUGAAAUAAAUCGAUAAUUGUAUCGAUUUUUAAUCGUUUAUUUAUCGUAGUUUAAGGCUUGUAUGUUGCCACAACUUGUGUGGAUUUUUGUCGAAAUCGAUUAUAAUCGAUAAUGCAAUAUUUUUUUAGAUUAUCUUGUAUUGUCUCUGAUACCAAUUAUCUGCUAUUAGGUACAUUUGAAAAAUUCACACAUUGAUUUAAUAAUACUUUUUCGAGUUAAAUUAAUAAAUUUUCCAUUUUUUCCAUUAAAUUAAAAUUUCGAUAACAAUUUCAAAAUAAUCUACAACUUUUUAACCGAUUUAGUUAUCGUACCAUACGAUGUUUAAUAAUACUUAUUCGAGUUAAAUUUUCCAUUUUUUUCCUUUUAAUUAAAAUUUCGAUAACAAUUUCAAAAUAAUCGAUAACUUUUUUUACCGAUUUAGUUAGCGUACGAUACGAUGAGGUAGCAAUAACUAGUCAGAUUAACAAAUAAAGUUUUCGAUAUUUAUUUUUAAGUUAAACUUUCGAUAGAUGUUUUCUAAUUAAUCGAUAUCGAUAUUUUUUAUAUCGAUUUUAUUAUCGUUUUUAUCAUAGAUUAUGGUUUGUCUGAUUUUUUUUUACAGUUUAUAGACAAUUUUGCGAAAAUUUUCCGAUAACAUUUUUAUGGGAUAAUUUGACGUUGACAAUAAUCGAUAAUUUUUUAUGUUAUAGAUUAAAGCUUUCUUUCCUCUUUAAUUUUUUGAAAAAAAAAUUGGUUUUUUUUUUUGUAUAUUUUUGCCUAAAAGAUCGUGUAUGCAAGUUUAAAGUAAGCCUUGGCGUAUAAGCAACUAAUGUUCAAAUUAUACUUAAAUCGCGGCUUACAGGCGUAUUAUCUUUGCAAUGUGUAUUUCAGUUAAUAUUUUAUAUUUAUAUCCAUGUGAGUAUGUAUUAUAUACAUUCGUGUAUAUUUUCUUAUAUGAUCUCCAUAUAAUAUAUUUAUGCAGUAACACAUUAAGCUCCCGAUUUUAUGUAACUUCAUAAGUACACAAUCACAACAAGCCCACAUUUGACCGCGACAAAAAAAAUGAUGUGUUUGUUGCAAUUUAAUUUGUCAUCAUCAAACGAAAUCAACAAUCUCAGCACGUCGUCGCUUUUGGUGGGGCUGAUGGGGUCGCAAUUUUCAUGGCAGCAUACAACAUAAUUUCGCCUAAAUAAUGAUUGGAGCGCGGGAGAAAGCCUAAAGAAGUUUGAGUAUUUACAUGAUGAGCAUAAACGUUGGGGCCACCACAUGUGGUGUCUGCCGAAAAAUAACUUAAUAAUGAAGCCACCAAAUUGGCUGCAAAUUAAAUCAAAAGAAUUCGGCUAAUCAAAUUUAUUAAAUUGAGCCAGAGGUCUGUAGCAUAUAACAGUAAAGUUGCACUCCACUCUGAGACAUAUAAAAUUAACAGUGUUACAACGGUAUUUUAUUGCAGUCUGCGAGUAAGUUGAGUUAAUUUGUGAGGCGUUACACCGUAGAGGCGGCGUAGUUGUAAAUCUAAAACCACACAUCAAACAGUCACUAAAGCAACGCAAAUGGACAGUACAAACAGGCAGCCACAUCCCCAUAAACUUAGUCAGUUUACCCUGGCAACAGUCGGAGAAGUGCAGAGUGUGAGCUAGCAAAGCGGAGAGUGCAGCGGAAAGUACAUAAGUCUAAAGUUGAAGGUUCACCAUGGAUUAACACAGCCAGCUGACUUGACGCGUUUGUUCGUUCCUUCGUAUGUGUGCGUGUAUACUUAGCCACUUAAGUUGGCUACGUGUAGCAUGAGUUUUAAUGCAGCAGGCUUUAAGAACUUUGACACAUCUUAUGUGGUUUGUACGAGUAUGUCUUACUUAGUACGAGUAUUAGUCGACAAAGUUCUCUGGCAAUCGAAGGACAAAUUGAUAGCGCCUGCCAAGUAUUAUGUUGCCGUCGAGAAAAAUAUAUUGUAUGAAAAAGUAAACCUUUGCUUCAUCUCAUACUCCCGUGAGCCAUGUCGAUGGUUGUUUGACAUGUUUCAUAUUGUCGGCGUUCGCCGUUGUGGAGCGCUUUUUCCUCUAUACGCCGUGCCAUUGAUACAAGUUCGCAGACCUUGGAACUUGUCGUUUCGUUAUAAUUAGAAAUUGGAAAAUUGCGAAACAAACUUUUCGUUAACAAUACACAUGCCUAGGCACGUAUGUAGUUGUUUGUACGUUUGUAUUUGCAAUAAUAAGGAUAUAACACUUGUAGAACAUAUAACAUAUGGUAGGGAAGUAUGACAAAAUACGCAUGUUUGUUUGUAUAUACACAUACACUUACGACUAACACAUUUAUCUGUAGAAAUUUUGCUCAAUCCCGAAAUUUCGAGAUUUGGAAAUUUAAUUUUCAGGAUCCCGAAAAAUUUUUCGAAACGAAUAUGUUUGUAAUCUCUUAAUUAUUUAUUAACGCAUACCUCUGCAUAUAUUUUAUACGAUCCAUUUCAUAUUCGGGAUCCCGAAAAUAAUAAUAAAUCUUCGAAUUGAUGUACAGCGUGGCAACAUUGAAUUAUGCACUAAAUAAGCCUAGUUAUAAAAUAUAUGUAUGUAUGUAUGGCAGAUGCUUUGAGCAUGUUCUCUAUCUGCGAAAGCAUAUUGUCACAAAAGCAACUCCCUAAUUCAAAAUAUUUAUGUAUAUGAACGCUGACUUUGAAAUAAGCUAUUUGCUAUACCUUAUCCCUAUGGAGUCUCACGCAUUUGGCAGCGUGUAAGUUUAUGUGUGAAUAGCAAACGCAUCUCAACUAUGUAAUAAAUUUUAUACUGGAAAAUUGUCGAUUGGAAAAAUUGUUAUGAUGUUAAAAAUUAAAUACAUAUUUAAAAAAAAUAAUAAUAAAAAAUUAUAAAAAAAUAAUAAUAAAAAAUCAAAAAAAAAAAAAAUAAUAAAUAUAAAAAUAAAUAUAAUAAAAAAUUAAAAAAAAAAUAAUAAUAAAAAAUUACAAAAUAAUAAUAAUAAAUAUAAAAAUAAAUAUAAAAAAAUAUAAAUAACACAGAAUGAAAAGCAAAAAAAAAAUAUAAAAAAAAAUAAUUAAUUAAGGAAAAUGACAUAAAUAUUUUUUAAAGCAAAAUUAUAAUAAAAAAUUAAAUAAAAUUAACAGAACUAAAAUAUAAUAAUAAUAAUUAAAAAGUAAUAAUAAAAAUACAAAAAAUUAUUUAAAUAAAUAAAAAUUUAAAAAAUAAUCAAAUAAUUUAAAUUAAAAAUAGUAAAUAAUUGUAAUUAAAAAAUUUCAAAAUGUUGUAAUUUGAUACAAAUUGAAAAAAUAAGAAAACAAUUAAUGGAAAAUCAAAUAAAUAUUUUAUAAAAAUAAUUAUAAUAAAAAAUUAAAAAAAAGAAAUAAUAAUAAAGUAUACAAAAUAAUAAAAACAUUAACAAACAAAAAAAAAAUUAUUAAAUUGAAAAAAAAAAAUAAAAAAAAAAUAAUGAAUUAAAAAAAAUUAAUAAAUUAAAAAAUAAUGAAUUAAUGGGAAAAAUAAAUAAAUAUUUUAUUUAAACAAAAUUAUAAUAAAAAAUAAAUAAUCGUAAAAAUAGUAAAUAGUCAUAAAAAAUUUAAAAAUGUUAUAAUUUCAUUUAUGAAAAAUAAGUAAGCAAAUUGAAAAAUUUAAUAAUGGAAAAAAAUAUUUUAUAAAAAUAAAUGUAAAAAAAAAAAAUUUUAAAAUAAUAAUAUAGCAUACAAAAUAAUAAUAAAAUAAAUACAGUGGUACUCCAAUAUAACGAAUGAUAUAAUGUUGGGACCGUUCGUUAAACUGAAAUAUUCGUUAUAUCGCAAACGAAAACUAAAUUAAUAUUGGUACAUAUAUGUUUAAAAAUAACUAUUUAUUCAUGAAUUCAUAAGCAUUGGUUAUUUUUCCAGAAAUAUUGAAAAUACAUGUACAAUGGAAAAUGCAUACAAUAAGAUUAAUAAAAGUUGAAUUUUAUAACAAAAAUAUGAGCAUUAUUCAACUGAAAAGAAAUUUGUUAUUCAGAUCCUGUGCCAUUUGAUGUAGGCUUUUCAAUAAAAAUAUUUUUUCCUGUUCCACGUCGUUUUCUUCAGACCAUUUGAUACACUUCUCAAAGCAGUCGAUGGCAUCAGUAUGCUUUAUUGGCGGAACAGCUACAACUGCAGCGGUACCACCUUCCGCCUCUUCCGAAAUUUCUAUAGCUAGUUCAUUUUCAGCGCUCGGGUUCUCUUCUACAAGUACAUUGUCUACACUGUUCCAUUCUUCCAAAUCAUCUGUGUUGAAGUUUGUCUAAAAUUUUAUUUGAAUAUUACUUUAAAUUAUUUCUACAAAUGCAUAAGUUAAACUGUACCUGGGGAAACAUUGUAUGGAUAAGAGAAAGUGUGCUCUCCAUAACAGAAAGGUCUUCUCUGAAUCGCAAAUCUAAUAGAGUUAUAUUGUCCUCAUCAUCAUUAUCGUCAGGUGUGGUUUUAUUAAUUAAAAUGUUUUUCCAACACUUCUGAAGAACAACCCCUGAAACUUUUUCCCAAGCUGCAGCAAUAAGUUGAACUGCAUUGAAAAGGGUGAGGUCCUUUAACGCUGUAUUUAAAUUUUCUUUUUGCACUACACUGCUCAGUAAAGAAUUUAGGUAAAAUAAUUUGGUGAGGCGAAUCGCGUUCUGGUCCAUCGGUUGAAUUAGAGCCGUUACAUUCGGUGGCAUAAACACUGUUCAAAUUUUUCCAUCUGGAGUCACCAAAUCUUCUUCUGGUGGAUGACUAGGAGCGUUAUCCAGGAGUAAUAUUGCUCACUUUGGUACACUUCGACUUUCAAGAGAAUCUUCAAUCUAUAAUUAAAAGUAUUAUUAAGGAGUAUUGAAGUGAAAAUUGUUGUAGUAUACAAACCUGAACCAUAAAAAAAUAAGUAGAAUUCUUAAAAAAAAAAUAGCUCAAUAAUAACAAGAACCGACGGGUGUUUAACUGCCUGCAUUGUUUUUUUGUUCUAAUACAACCAAAACCAAAUACAAACGUCAUACAUUCGUAAUAUCGAGUUCAUCCAAUUUCCAGCUUUCGUUAUAUAGAGUCAUCAAUGUAUUGAAAAACAGCGUUCGUUAUAUUGAACAUUCGUUAUACUGGAGCAACACUGUACAUACAUAAAAUUUCAAAAAAAAAAUAAAAAAAUUAAAUUAAAUAAUUUAUAAACAAAUGUUUAAUAUAAAAUAAAUAAAAAUAAUAAUGAAUAAAAAAUGUUAAUAAAUUAAAAAAUAAUUAAUUAAUAGGAAAAAUUAAUAAAUAUUUUAUGAAACAAAAUUAUAAUAAAAAGUAAAUAAUAAAUAAUAGAAAUUAAAAAAAUUAAUAAAAAGAUAAAAAUUAAAAAAUAAUAAUUUAUCAAAAAUUUAAACUUAACCAAUAAAGCUAAAAUUUACACAUGAAUUCCUGUUGGGUAUCGACCAAAACAUGCAACAAAUGCGUUAAUAUAUACAGACAUACAUACAUACAAACCGAACGUGGUUGUAACGCCCUUACAUACCCACACACCGAACGCAUUUAGUAUAUUGUAUACCAGUUCAUAGAUAUGUAUUUAAGCGAAAUAAUGAAGCAGGGAGUACACUUGGUUGGUGGCAGGAGGCGCAACGCAGCUGAUGAUGACAUUUUGUGAAAAUACAAACAACCUGACCGGAAUGGAUAAUUAGAUUUUUCCUCUAAGCUACGCAGCAACGGCUUUAGCAGCAUAUACAUAUAUAACAACAACGAUAGCAACAAAGAUAGAUAGGAUGAAAAUCGUAAGCACAGAUACUCGGAUGCACAUACAUACUUAUGUAUAACAAAAUAUACAUAUAUGCGUGUAUAUAAAUAUGUCGGUACAAAGAGUCAGUGCAAAGGCCGCUCUUGAGACUUGACUAGUGGCUUGGUAUUGCUUUUUCACACUUGCGUGCUAUUCUUCUCAUUGAUCUAUUGGAAUGCCAUGCUACACACACACAUACAUGCAUACACAUCUGUAUGGCAUAUUUGCUCGUGCUCUUCAAGCUACUGCUUCCUUAGAGACUUUGACAACUAAAUAAAUUCCACUUUAUUGCAUCGAAGAAAAGAAAUCAUUCUUCAGUUUGCCAUCACCACAUCACCACAUCACCACAUUGGCCUCAUCAAUGUUGCCUUUGCACACUCAAACACACAGUCAACUAACCACAAGCACUUAGCCCUUUUCAUUAUAUUUAUUUUCCCCAACUACACUGCUAAGAAGACAGCUUCUUUCUCUCUCCCACUUUGUCAUUGACAUUUUGCUUUCGUCGCAACGGUUGGCCAAGUCUACGACUGGUUUUUCCAGCAUUCUUCAGCAUUUUCUGGGCGUAUAUUUUGUUAUUAUUCUUCAUUUCUUGUUGUUGCAAAUGCCUGUUUGGCCCACGCAGACGUCCAUAGUCGUUCUUUCUAUAGCUUUAGACCGGAAAUGAGUUUAUUGGAAUUCCGGCAACAGUAUGGGCGCGUUAUUGAAAAGUGUGAAAAACUUGCAGAGAAAAUAUUGAAUUUUGCAAGUUGGCGCUAAAAAUAGUUGCAGUGCAUGCUAAUGUGAGGACUUGGAUGGAGAUAUUGUGGGCAAUUAAUUUGAAACUUUUUUCAUACAAAAUAUUUAAAUUUAAUAAUGGGUGAAAGCAUUACCUUUCCCAUUUUCACUGCCAUUACUAUUGCUAUCGUACGCAACCGGGUAGUAUUUUUGCCCAGCCAAGGACUAGCAACUCGAUAGUAUUCUAUGUUUCAUCUAGUUCACUCAACGACGAUUUAGAGAUACCUUGCAUUUAGUCACCUGAGUAUGAUGAUUGGGGUGACACCCAUCUCAAAUGCCUGGCGGGUUGAUAUCUUAACUCCCUCUAUCCCGUUAAAAUCAGAUAGGCAUUGGAGUAAGUUCCCUCCACUGUUGGUUCUUUACGCUGGUCGGCUCUGAAACUCAGCUAAUGACCACAACAGGGCGCAUAUACCCGGCGGAAUCGCCAGCACUAAUAGCGGAACCAAUGCUAGAGUAAAAACCGAAACAAACCUGGCAAGGAACUGAAAUCGGACUGGUGUUUGACAACAAAAAUUUUGGAACGCCGCGGCUGCAGGCAGGAAGUUCAGGUAUUUAUGCAUCGCGCCAGCACGCUCGGGUGCAGCCGCAACGGUCAAGCGUCAAAAACGGAGGAGAGAGAAUUCUCUCUCGUUAUUUUGUAUAUAUGUACAUACAUAUCAAUAUUCUUCUUCUUCUUGACUGGCGUAAACACCGCUUACGCGGUUAUAGCCGAGUCAAUUUUCCUUUUGGCAGUUAGGCGCCAAUUGGUAAUACCAAGUGAAGUCAGGUCCUUCUCCACCUGGUCCUUCCAUCGGAGUGGAGGUCUCCAUCUUCCUCGGCUUCCACCAGCGGGUACUGCAUCGAAAACUUUCAGAGCUGGGGCACUUUCGUCCAUUCGAACAACAUGAUCUAGCCAGUGUAGCCGCUGUCUUUUUAUUCGCUGGACUAUGUCUAUGUCGUCGAACAACACAUACAGCUCAUCAUUCCAUCUUCUACGGUAUUCGCCGUUGCCAAUGUUUAAGGGAUCAUAAAUCUUCCGCAAAACCUUCCUCUCGAAAACUCCUAGUGCCGUCUCAUCGGAUGUUGACAUCGUCCACGCUUCUGCACCGUAAAGUAGGACAGGAAUGAUGAGAGACUUGUAGAGUUUGGUUUUUGUUCGUCGAGAGAGGACUUUACUUUUCAAUUACCUUGUUAUUGCUGUUAAUGCUGGUUCCCAGGUAGACGAAAUUAUCUACAACUUCAAAGUUAUGACUGUCAACAGUGACUUGGGAGCCAAGACGCGAAUGCGCUAACUGUUUGUUUGAUGACAGGAGAUAUUUUGUCUUGUCCUCGUUCACCACCAGACCCAUUCGCUUCGCUUCCUUAUCCAUGCGGGAAAAAGCAGAACUAACGACGCGGGUGUUGUUUCCAAUGAUAUCGAUAUCAUCGGCGUACGCCAGUAGCUGUACACUCUUAUAAAAAAUUGUACCUUCUCUGUUUAGCUCUGCGACUCGAACUAUUCUUUCCAGCAUCAGGUUAAAGAAGUCACACGAUAGCGAGUCACCUUGUCUGAAACCUCGUUUGGUAUCGAACGGCUCGGAGAGGUCCUUCCUGAUCCUGACGGAGCUUUUGGUGUUGCUCAACGUCAGCUUACACAGCCUUAUUAGUUUUGCGGGGAUACCAAAUUCAGACAUCGACAAAAAGGUGGUGUGUGUCGAUCCUAUUUUCACGGGUCUUUUCCAAGAUUUGGCGCAUGGUGAAUAUCUGGUCAGUUGUUGAUUUUCCAGGUCUAAAGCCACACUGAUAAGGUCCAAUCAGUUUGUUGAAGGUGGGCUUUAGUCUUUCACACAGUACGCGGAAUCAUCAGCAUUAAUAACGGAACCUCUGCGUUAUGGAAGCUAACACGAUCACGAAAUCUCCAAGCAAAAACCGAAACAAACCGUCCAGGAAACUGAAGUCGAUCUGGCGUUUAGCAACCAAAAUUCAGGGACGCGGUAGCGCAUUUUGGUAUUUUGUGCAUCACUCCUGCACGCUCGAGUGGCCCAAGAGGGUGCUGAGCGAGGGAGGGGAUCCAGUGUCGACGGGGCAGGGUGCAGUCGCAUUGGUCAAGCGCCAAAGGUCGCGGGGGAUAGAAUUCUCUCGUUCUUUUGUAUAGAAAUAUCAAUAUUACUAGUCCACCUCCAGAUCCACAAAAAUGUUUCUGAAUUUUUUGCUAUUUAUUGAAAUAACCGUCAUCCGCUUUUAUUAACACUAUUAACCGUUAUUUAAGUGAUCCUAAUUUUUGACAUUAAAAAUCAAAUAAUAAUUAUUUUCUCCGUCCCCUUAAAACAAAAGUCAUAACCACUUAGUCUUACCAAUAUUUUUUGUUUCCAAAAAAUACGAAAAAUAAUAAUACAGUGUCAAAUCCAGAUAAAAAAAACUUUAAGUUAAUCACUUGACCGUCCAAUUUUUACACCUCUUUAAAUUUUAUGUCACAUAAAAGUUAAUGUAGCCUUUUAUGUCACACCGAAUAUGUGGUUACAAAUAGCGGUUGGCUGACGGACAAAAAAAAAUACAACAGCAACAUCAACUGGUACAUUCUUACUUAUAUACAUAUGUAUAUUGUUGCCUCUCUUCAACAUGCAUGCAUAUAUCCGCCACAAGUCCAGCGAUCCGUAAAACUUAAUGCCUCCAGCCAACGUUGUGCGUGUGCUCUCCUCUAACUGCUCCAUACUACUUACCGACUAUUUUACUCCAGCUAUUUUAUUUUUGGCGCAGCCAGCUUAUAACCGCUUCAUAAACAUUUUCACUGUCUGCGGUUUUUAUUAUGCAGCUCAUCUCAUCCGGCAGUUCUGUUGUUGUUCGUGCUCCGCUCAUUCUAUCGCGUGCUGUGCUCCAGUUUCCUAUUUAAAAGCGCGCUCCUUUUACAUUUUCACAUAACCCCGGUCCUGUUUUUUGCGCUCCUAGACCGCAGUUAUUCGCUCACCUGUUUGUCGGUUUCACUGUUUGUCUGUCGGUCGUCGGUCUGGCUUUUUAAUGGCAAAACAUUUGUCUGUUACCUGCCACUAUUGUCCAUAAAAUGAACUCAUAAAGGUUGAACUUUUCGACUGUGUGUUGAUGUCUGUAUGUAUAUACUAUAUGCAUACCGUUAUUAUUUACCUUUUAUGCUUUUUGCUGUAAUAUCCUUUGGUUAUUUGUUGUUGUUGGUUAUUAUUUUUGUGUUGCACAAAUUUUUAUUCAUCUCACCUGUCACUCGCUAUUGCUUGUUAUCAAUUUUUUCUGUUUUUUUUUUUUGUUGAGGAUGUCAAACUUUGACAGCCUUAUGUCAUUGUUGUCAUAGUAACAGUGUCUGUGUUUAUGUAUUAGUUGGAUUAUGUCGUUAAUAAUGGACGUUGGUAAUCGAUCAUUUCAUUCAUUGUGACUGUUAACACGCUCAUUAUGUUGUGACAUAUUGGCAGUCGUAUGUGGGCGUACAUGAUUUUAAUGUGUUUAUGCUGUAAUAUAUCAAACGGGUGCAUUUGACAUACACACUCGUAACAUUACAAAAUUUGCAAGAAAUACAUAAUUAUCAACCCUCAGGAAUAGACUUGUUUUCUCUCUAGGUCUGUAAGUAUUGCCAUACAUUUAAAUUGAACUUCCUUAAAGAGUUGUGUGGCCUUGGAGGCUGAUGGCAUCAACUUUCAUUAACUUUUAAAUUAGACAACAAAAUCAUUGUCAUUAAUCAAAAGAUAUUAAUAUUAAGAUAUGAUUUAUUCUCCUUGAAAGCUUGGGAUGGGAUAGGAAUAACAUCGUUCCCAGCAUUAAAGUGUAAAAUAAAAGAUAAAAAUUGACCGACAAACCAAUUAAACUGAAACAUUUCUCCAUAGAUUAAGGUAAUAUAAUCAUAUAACAUUAUUUGUGAACAUAGUAAUAAUUCAUCAAAAACUCCAUGGAAAAUACUUCGAAAAUAUCCACUAUAUUCGAUCAUUAUCUAUAUAUUAUUGAGAGGUUAUAUCAGAAACGUUUUAUGCAAUUUAUUUUAAUUUUUACGCAAUUUGUUUAUUUAAUUUUAUGAAGAUAACACACAAUUCAUCCCCUAUAUCCGCAUAAAGUCCACUAAAAUAUCGAAAAUCAUUAGAUAUUAGGUCUACAACUUUGCUUCCGCAGUUGUUUUUUGUAAAUUUAAGGCUUUAUUGUAUAAAAACGGUUACAAAAAUGUGACGAAAAAACUCCUCAUCUUUCGAAUCGAUCCAAGUAUUAAUCCAAUUUUUGACUUCUUCAUAAGAACUCAAGUGUUCGUUAGCUAGACCGUGUGCAAUCGAUCGGAACAAGUGGUAGUCGGAUGGAGCAUCGUCUGGAGAAUACGGCGGGUGAGGUAAGAUCUCCCAUCUCAGCGUCUCCAAAUAUUUUUUGACCACCUUUGCGACGUGAGGCCGAACAUUGUCAUGCUGGAGAAUGACUUUAUCGUGUCUUUCCUCGUUCUGUGGCCGUUUUUCUUUUAGUGCUCAGCUCAAACGCAUCAAUUGCGUUCGGUAUCGAUUUCCUGUGAUGGUUUCAGUCGAGUAAUGCUUCCAAUUCAGCAUCUUCGAAAAUCUUCUCUCUUCCACCACCAUGCUGGUCUUCGACUUCAUAAUCACCAUUCUUAAAACGUUGAAACCAUUCGCGACAUGUUCCUUCACUUAGGACAGCCUCAUCGUACGUAUCCGAAAGCAUUCGAUGAGCCUCAGCCGCACUUUUCUUGGAAUUAAAAAAGAAAAUCAAAAUUUCCCGCAAAUGUCGAGUAUACGGCUCAAAAAGUGACAUUUUCAGUUGAGCAUAAGUUUGAAAUGCAAACAGAUCUCUACAAAUAUUUUGUUGGGUUAAUGUUGACACAAAUGUCCAAGAUCGAUAUGAAACGAUUUAAUCGACCAGUGCUUGAUCCUAGAGACAUCUAUUGGAAAACGGUGGAAUCAAAGUUGUAGACCUAAUAUAUAAUAGUAUAUGGUAGCUGGGGUAACUCGUGAACCGAUUUCACUAAUUUUCACCACCAAGCUACGCUAUAUCCAAGACUAUACGCUCAUUCACCGAACGUUAGAAAAUCCAUAUAUUUGGUAUAUGGGAGCUAUGAGAAGUUAUUAAUCGAUUUCACCCAUUUUUGGCAGAGAUAAAUAUUAGAAAAAAUUUUCUCUCUGAAUUUCUAUAAAAAUAAUUCAUAGGCACUGAGGUCCUCGUUUUCAGUAUAUGGGGCCUUGAAAUUCUAAAGUCUAAUUGUGACAAUUUUUAAAUAUAAUAUGUUUCCCCUCUUAAGCAAUAUUUGUGUUUUAUUGCGAUAUCUUCAACUGUUCUUGAUUUAUAUUAGGUUGGCAAAUAUCUCCCUUCCGCGGCUAUGUAUGUAUAAAGCGCUACAGAGCUCGUAUCUAGCAAUACUAUACAUAUUUGAAAGGUCUUGACAUUACCUACAAAACGACGCUAUGCUAUAUUGCGUUCAACAGUUACAGACGUGUAAGCAUGGAGAUUACUAACGAUGCUCACAAAAUUCGCGCUAUUUUAAAGUUUUCCUUCGUUAAAGGCAAAUCCGCUAGAGAAACUUUCCGUGAGAUUAAUGUUGUUUUGGGGUAUUCUAUCACUUCGAAUUGCGGAGGAAUGGUUUCGACGAUUCAGAGCGGUUGAAAACGACACCAUAGAUAAGCCAGGCGGCGGAAGUCCUGUGACGACGAAUACAGAUCAAAUCAUGGAAUAAAUCGAGUUAGACCGGCAUGUGGCAUCUUGUGACAUCGCCCAGGAGAUGGGAGUUAGUCACCAAACCAUUUUACACCAUCUGCAGAAGGCUGGAUACACAAUAAAGCUUGAUGUUUGGGUGCCGCAUGAUUUGACGCAAGAAACCCUUCUGGACCGAACGAACUCGACCUAUUUUUGAAACGGAUGGUGACUGGCGACGAAAAAUUGAUCACAUACGAUAAUAUCAAGCGAAAACGGUCGUGGUCGAAGGCCGGUGAAUCUCCCAAACAGUGGCCAAUCCGGGAUUGACGGCCUGGAAGGUUUUGCUGUGUGUUUGGUGGGAUUAGAAGGGAAUCAUCCACUAUGAGCUGCUCCCAUAUGGCCAGACGCUUAAUUCUACCAUCUACUGCGAACAACUGGAUUGCUUGAAGCAGACGAUCGACCAGAAUUGGCCAACAGGAAGGGUGUAGUGUUAAACCAGGACAACGUCAGACCACACACUUCGUUGAUGACUCGUCAGAAGCUACUGGAGCUCGGGUGGGAAGUUUUAUCGCAUCCACCAUAUAGCCCGGACAUAGCGCCAAGUGAUUACCACCUGUUCCUGUCCAUGGAAACGCCCUUGGUGAUAUAAAGUUGAAGUCAAAAGAGGCUUGUAAAAAGUGGCUGCCGGAGUUUAUCGCAAAUGAGGCAGUCUAGAUGGAAACAGAUUAUCGAACGAAUGGGGGCAUAUUUGAACUAAACUAGAGUUCAUCCCCUCAACACAAAGUAAAGUAUAUACAUAUUUCGAAACAAAUUCACGAUGACAGCCUCAAAUUAACCCAAAGAAAUCACUUCACGCACGUCUGGACGGGGUGAUGGUAAAUGUCUAAGCAUUUAACCAAAGUAAAUAAGAUUUAAAACAUUUCAAGGAUUCAAUUUAAGUGCACAAUAAAAUGUAACUUAACAAAUGGGCCAACACAAAACAAUUUUAACAAGUAACAACAAAACAACGCGAAAUCGUUUAAACAACAAACCGUGGAGGUAAAUAAAACGAAGUGAUGAGCUGGUGUGGCGAAUUUACGAGUAAACUUGCAGACGCUUAAGCGAUAACAUGGACAAGAGAAAAGUGAGUGAGUGAGAGAGGGGAGGAGGCGCAGUAAGUUGAAAAGUCAUAGUUAACGGCUUAGUAAGCGUCUUGAGGGAGCCAACCCACAAUAACAACUAACUCGGCAUACAGACAGACAUUUAGUUUACCGUCAAGCCGUCAAGCUAGUCAGUCAGUCGGUUAUUAUGCAGUCAUUUAUAUAGAAUGUAUAAAGUAAAUAAUAAAAGCGUGGCGAAUUGAUGUAAUUAAUCAAAUUAGAGGAAACACAAAAACCCUUUUGAUUGUCAAUUUGAAAGCGUUAGGAAAGUCAUUAAGGACGUAUAAAGGUUUUGCGAAUGCCGCAGACCAGCUCUCCCGAGGGGCUGUGGACGUGGCCAUGGCAAUGCAGAGGUUGUACAUAAAAGCGCUUAGCAGAGUAUAUAUGUAUAUUAUGUCUGUCUGUAUGUGAAAACACAAUUAAAAGCUUCCACCAGGAUUUCGCUGCAUUGGGUGUCUGCUGUUUUGCGGCUUGUAGCGACACAAUUGUUGCUUGCUCCCCAGAGCAACACGGGUAUUUUCCGCACAGCCUUUGCCUCACCUACAAAAUUACGCACAUUGUUGCACACCAGUUGGCGGUGGCAAACAUUAAGGGCACGACACUUAAAACCAUAUUUUGUAAUGCCAACUGGCGGCGGCGGAAAUGGUUGGGAAAAUUGAAAAUUUCUGCCGAAAAGGUAGUACGAAUGCCAAAACCCAGUUUCACGGCGGUAAAUUGCUGGCAAUUAAAGUACACCUACCGUUAUUGUGCCAAAAUUAAUUCAUUUUUAAAUGGCAGCCCCAAAACGUUUGGCAAGCAAAGCAGCUGGCCCAAAAGGAAGCAGUUUAAGCGAGAGUUGUGGCGAAAGUGAAAAUUUUGGGAUUUAGUUGAAGUGAAAAAAGUAGAAAAAACUGAAAUUCAUAAAUACCUGCAGAAAAACUGGCUACCGGUCGCCAAAAACAACACCAAAAUUUGUGUCAGCAUAUAAACCUUAAUUACCUUUGCCUUUAUGGCAUAAAGUGCCAUAAGUAAGCUAAAAAUAGAGCUAUGGAAAUAAAAUUUGGUAUGAAGGAUCGCACUAUGAAGGGGCAUAAUUGGAUGUAAUUUUUUUGGGGAAGUGGGCGUGGCCCCGCCCCCAAAUAGAUUUUUUGUACAUACCUCGGAAACCAAUAAAGCUAUAUAAACCAAA
This is a long non-coding RNA of Zeugodacus cucurbitae (melon fly), 22786 nucleotides long. RefSeq lists it as uncharacterized. The transcript is spliced from 2 exons. NCBI's taxonomy places the organism in Eukaryota, Metazoa, Arthropoda, Insecta, Diptera, Tephritidae. The record is from RefSeq and is a predicted model, not a curated record.